This 322-nucleotide unclassified non-coding RNA is filed under the name soil metagenome. Its description in RNAcentral is "partial contains 5.8S ribosomal RNA, internal transcribed spacer 2, and large subunit ribosomal RNA". The stretch from base 1 to 120 matches the Rfam family "5.8S ribosomal RNA", at positions 35 to 154 of the family's 154-position model. The record is from RNAcentral.
GAUGAAGAACGCAGCGAAAUGCGAUAAGUAAUGUGAAUUGCAGAAUUCAGUGAAUCAUCGAAUCUUUGAACGCACAUUGCGCCCUUUGGCAUUCCGAAGUGCACACCUGUCCGAGCGCCGUCGCACAACUGAGGCGCAGCCUUGCGUUGGCGGGCGACUUGUGAGUAGCGAGUCGCCGCCCAAACGAGACGGCGCCGCGCCGCGGCCGACGAAGCACGAAAGCGGAAGUCGACGCGGAGGCGGUUGCCUGUAGGAAGACACAGCUUGGCCUCGGAUCAGGUGGGGAUACCCGCUGAACUUAAGCAUAUCAAUAAGCGGAGGA